Marmota monax (woodchuck) is the source of this 3300-nucleotide long non-coding RNA. RefSeq lists it as uncharacterized. Lineage: Eukaryota; Metazoa; Chordata; Mammalia; Rodentia; Sciuridae. The transcript has 3 exons. The record is from RefSeq and is a predicted model, not a curated record.
CACUCACACACAUGGCGAGGAAUUCAGCAGGCAGGAGGAGUUAGCCUGGGGGUGCAGGGGCUGCAGACCCCCUGAAAAUAGCCCAGGAAGCAACGUGUCGCCACCUCGCUAAUCCACUGGCCAUGAGUUUGGUACCUCAAGCUGGGCACCACUCCCAGGGACACGGAGAUGAUGGGUCACUGUCCCUGCCUUGCAGAGAGAGAGCUACCGUGCACCGUGACAGCCUGUGACACCUGACCAAUGAUGUGGGCGCUGCAGGGGACACCACCAAGCAACACCAGAGGAUCAGAGGAGAGUCCCAGAGGUGGCUCUGGCUGGGGAGGUUGCAGAUGGGCGCUCAGGUGGGAGCUGGGGUGCAGGGACGUUCUGAGGCGGGACAGCUGAGGUGCAGGAGCCCUGGGGCUGAUGUACCCUGAGCCAUGCCACCGCACCCCAGGACUGGCACCCCACGUUCCCUUAGCACUGGGGGCUGAGGAAUCCUAAGGGAGGUGCCAGGGCGCCAAUCAGACCCCUGCCUGGGGCUUCGGGGUCUACCCUAACCCCACGUGCCAGAAUCAGCUGUAAAUUCUGUGGGACCUCCAGGGUUAAAUCUGAGAAAUGGGGACAUCAUAAACUGAGCUUCUAGAGAAGGAAAAGGCCCAAGGUGUUCACGCCCAGGAGAGCCUUGCAGCCACCCAAGGCCACCAGGCGUUGACCUUCCGGGGACACACUCUGCUUUGUAGAGAUGGGGAGAGGGAGGCCAGGGCCGAGGGCGGGGCCUGGGGCUGGGGCUCAGGAUCCCACCGGUCAGCACAGGCCUCUCCGCUCACUUCCCGAAUGCCAGGGCGGCCACCCUGGAUGUUGUCACAGGCUUUUAUUUCCCCACAGGAAGAAAGGAUUGUUUUGCUCUGGCAGAUGCCCCAGGGAGCGCUGUGGUCCCUGAGCGAGGAGCCCGGGGUCCCAGGGGCCCACAACAGGUGGGAGGGGCUGGGAGGAGACUGGAAGAAUGGUCUCCUUCUCCAGCCACCUUGCACCUGGCAGCCAUCACCAGGCCCUCAGCCUCUGGCCCCCAACUCAGGAGGGGGCCGGGCGGGGACAGCCCAGCCUGUGGCUGUGGCAGGCCAUCGCACACAGAAUGCACGUGGACAGGUGCACAGGCACGAGGACCCAGCGGGGAGGGGUGGGCAGGCUGGGCCCUGGGGAGCCGGCCACCACCGUGUCAGGCACACACCUGGAGGCUGCCCAGACGCCCACAGCCCACACCAAUUAGGAACUUACUUUACAUUAUUUUAAUUUGUCUCUGGAGCCUUGGAAGGAAAGUCAUGCAAUUAUUAUUAUUAUUAUUAUUUUGGAAACUCCAGCAGCCAUUAUAUAAAUUACGUCUAAUUUAAUACAUUGGAGGCAGUUUUUUUUCUAAACAAUCAUGUUUUCCCUUCCCCGACGACGGGGCCACUGUCCCCUAAUAAUUCUGCUCAGUGUUGCAAUGGGGAAAUGUCCUGACCCUGAGAGGAAGAGAGAGGCCUCUGGGUUACACUGAUCUCUCCACCCAAAGAGGGGACAAGAGACUUUGAAAGCAGUUGGUUUGGGGUGCCAUGGGUGUACUGUGUGCCCUCUGAGAAGUUGCCUAACCUCUCUGAGUCUCUGUUUUGCGUCACAGGCUGAUGCCCUCCAGGUAGUGCCCUGGAGCGUCUUCAUCCACCAGGUGGAUUCGCUCAGCCCAGAGCAGGGACAGAGGACAUGGUGAUUGAAGGGGGCCUGAGAUGCAUUGUAACCAGGUAUGGUAAGACACACAGACAUAGCAGUGACUGUCACGAAGGGACACGUUUUUAUCAUUGUCACUGACCUGGGAAAGGGAAGUAGGCAUCCCACCCCAAAUGUCAGAGCAGCGGACGAAACAGGAAUCCGACGGACACCAGCUGCCGGCUCAGGCUCUGGUCCUGCCGGUAGGCACUGGGCAUUUUUGUGACCUUGCUUGAUGGCCACAGUUGCCCACUGGGGCUGGGCUGGGUGUGCCCACCCUGCAGUGUUGACAAGGAAACUGAGGCCCAGAAAGGAAACCCCCUUCCCGAGGCCACACAGGGACAGGGCCAGGGUGAAGACCAGCCUGGAGUGACACGCAGGGCCCAGGUCGAGGUCCCCUCGGUACAAGGUUAGGAACUGUGGGCUCCUGAAGACCAGAAGAGGGGGCGACCAGUGGAUCGGACAUGGGGUGGCUCCUGGGCUAUGUCAGAGUCUAAUGAGGUUGUACCUGGGGAGCAUCAGCACUUAAUAGGUGCCCAGUAAGCAGCACUCUUGGGUGAGCCAGAGGGGCCCCUGCCCCCGCCUCUAGGCCCCAGUGUCCCCAUUUGUACAGCAAGGAGAGCUCUGGCCACUGCACUUGGGGAAACUCACCCGACUGAUGCUCGAAUGCUCCAGAGACAGGGUGUGCCAAAGCAGCACAGUAAACACCCAGAGACAUCCUGUGUCCACCAGGGGGGACACAUGCACACAGGGGGCUGCUGGGGCCACCGCACAGCUGGCAAAGCCACACGUCACAUGGAAGGAGGGACAGGAGCAGCCGUGGCCUGACAUCACCACGGGGAAGGCUGAGCGGCAGCCACAGGAAGCUCUGGGUUCACGGCUCAGCCUUUCCUUCAGGGCUGGGGAUUGAACCCAGGCCCUCACCCCUACUGGGCAGGCACUGGCUGGAGCCAACCCCGAGUCCUUUUUGAUUUUGACAACAGGUCUGGAUAAGUCUCCCAGGCUGGCCUGGAACCUGCUAUCCUCCUGACUCAGCCUCCUGAGUUGCUGGGUCGACCUGUGUGUGCUCAUCCCUUUUGUACCAUGGUCUUGCUAAGUUGCUGAGGUUGGCCUUGAACUUACGAUCCUCCCGACUCAGCCUCCCCAGCCGCUGGGAUUCCAGGUGUGCACCACUGCGCCCAGUGACUGCAGUGUUAUUCACAACAGUCAAAGAAAGAUUGAAAGCCACAGAAAUGUCCAUCAGUGGAUGAACAUAUCGACCAAAUGUGGUCCAUGGGUUCAACAGAACGCCUCACAACCCCAUGAAGGAAUGGAGGGCCUAUGGACCUUGAGGACCCCACUUCUGUGGAGUGUCUGGAAAAGGCAAAUAAAUCAUAGCAACAGAGAGGGCUGAACCUUGGGAGGGGAAACCAGGAGGUGAGUGGUGAUCGUUGUGAUUUCCUUGUUGGGAGGUGAUGAGAACCUUCUGGAAACAGCUACUAUGGGUGGUAAGUCACACAAUCUGGGAAGAUACUGAACCGUGCCCGGGAAGGGGCGAGUUUGCUGGAAAACCUCGCGUUACUUUUCCGGGGUUGCCUUUAA